AACGAACGCUGGCGGCAGGCUUAACACAUGCAAGUCGAACGGGCGCUUUCGGGCGUCAGUGGCAGACGGGUGAGUAACGCGUGGGAAUCUACCUGGUGGUCUGGAAUAACUCGUGGAAACGCGAGCUAAUACCGGAUACGCCCCUGGAGUGAUCCUGGGGGAAAGAUUUAUCGCCAUUGGAUGGGCCCGCGUCGGAUUAGCUUGUUGGUAGGGUAACGGCCCACCAAGGCGACGAUCCGUAGCUGGUCUGAGAGGAUGAUCAGCCACACUGGGACUGAGACACGGCCCAGACUCCUACGGGUGGCUG
Molecule: ribosomal RNA, 307 nt
Filed under: uncultured Pseudomonadota bacterium
Lineage: Bacteria; Pseudomonadati; Pseudomonadota
Description: bacterial SSU rRNA
Rfam family: Bacterial small subunit ribosomal RNA
Source: RNAcentral